Macaca mulatta (Rhesus monkey) is the source of this 1001-nucleotide non-coding RNA. The record is from RefSeq and is a predicted model, not a curated record. NCBI's taxonomy places the organism in Eukaryota, Metazoa, Chordata, Mammalia, Primates, Cercopithecidae.
CAUUCACUAGUUGUAUCAUCUCCCCCUUUUCCACCAACAAUUCCCUUCACAACCCUGCUCAAAAUACACUUUCCCCAAGGAAGCACUUCUUGAUUAAUGUUGCUGGAUAUUAAUUUUUUGUUAUUGUUUUCUCAUUAGUCUAUGUUACAGAGGCCUGCAGAGUUGUAUUCUCUUUCUCUCCCAUUCAUGACGUCCCCAAACUUCCAAGAGGCCUGUCUCAGGGCAUGCAGGGUAGGAACGGAGCUGUAGACUGAUGCUGUUAACCAUCUCCCAGGCCUCUCGGGCCAAACCGCACUCGAAUCAACCCAGACCCAGUCUCACCCGUCAGUUCCCCAGUCAGCUGUCUCCACGGCGGCAUCGUCUGGGCCAAGGGAGAAUGACUAAGUGUCCCGCCUACACCCGGUGCUAAUCCAGCCAAAACUGCCUGUUCCGACAUCCCUCCACUUGCCUUCAUUCCAUCAAGUCGGCUCCAUUCUCCAUCUGCCAUAAUUUCAAGUCCUUCACGGCGUCCCUGCCCAUCUGACACACCAACUCGCCUCCCUCGCACAGCCCCUCGCCGAUACCCGGCACCCCUGCUAAACCAUCCGUCACCCUGACAGGACAAACACUCGCGCGCAGAGACAAGUGCACUCCUCCCACCAGCCCGUUCCUGCCAGGCAAGAAAGGAAGCUUUCCGUGGAAGAACUGCAUGCAAGUAGAGACUGAAUAUUUUCGUGCUUUCUUUUGAACUGCUGGAAGACCUGCCCAGCUCAGAGCAGUAAGAAGUCACCAGUGCUGACUUCAGUCGGCAACUUUGUACAUCUCCUUUCCCAGGUAAAUCAAUAUCCCAACAUAUACUUGUAUGAAUAUACCCAUGCCAGAUGGAUAUUUUCCAAAAGAAGUCUUUCCAAGAAAAUUAACAUAAAAAUUUGGGGCUUUUUGCUGUUAGAGGGGAAAAACAUAGAGCUGAUGUCAACAAACAGCACAAACUUUCUAUCCUAAUAAAGUCAAGUCUAAUCAGA